Molecule: long non-coding RNA, 43813 nt
Filed under: Lactuca sativa (garden lettuce)
Lineage: Eukaryota; Viridiplantae; Streptophyta; Magnoliopsida; Asterales; Asteraceae
Description: long non-coding RNA (LSAT_LNC007967)
Source: RNAcentral
GUUGACCAAAAUAAUUGGACACUGUUUGAACAAACCAUUGGGGAAUGAUCGUGUAUAAAUAGAUCCUUCGUAAAUGGUUACUCACACAUUCAUAUUCAUUCAAUCAUUGAAAAAAUGGCCUCAAUCUUAAAAGGAGGAAGACUUACCUUGGCUCUUAUCAUCCUCAUCGUCAUUAGUUCAUCAUCUCACAUCAUUACAACCACCGCCACUGCUCGGACUCCAUACAACCAUGAACGCCAACUAGGUUCGGUUUUCUCUAAACAUCUCAUAGUUAAUAAUAAAAAAAACGCUAAUAGAAGCUGCUCCGGUAUUUCUUAUAAAUUAACUAAGGUUGCAUUGUAAAUACGUGUAGUUAAUUUUUUUUUUCUUUUAAAUAAGAAAACAGUUUCAUUUUAUCUUACUUUCGGAGUUGUAGGGUUAUAUUCUUAUGAUUUUGUUUUCUAUAUUUAUUUCAUUCGUGUAAUUACUAUCAAUAGUCAAUAGCUAAUUUGUUUUCCAUUCAUCACCGGUUUUCCAGAUUUUCUGAUCAAACUAACCUUAAUUAUAAUAUAUAAGAGGCAUAUACAACUUGUCCAUCCCUAAAGAUUAAAAAUAUUAGAAAUUGAUGUAUGCAGCUACAAAUUGCGAUUAUGACCCCAUACAACAAAAUGAUGGACCCGACGGGUGUGGAAGUGGAAGUGGAAGUGGAAGUGGUGGAUCACCAAAACCAAAACCAAUACCAUGCGGUUCAAUGCCAGGUAAGAGCCUUUGUAGGAAGGGUUGCUGUGGAAAGACUAAAAUGGGAAGGGCCGAAUGUUGCUAGUAGUACCGGAGGUUGUACUACAUCAAAUAAUGUAUCUGAAUCCAUUGUCUAGAUCAGAAAAUAAUAUUUCAAAUCAUUUCCACCCUUUUUGACUGCUUUUACCUAAAGUCGUAUAUGUAUGAGUAUGUCCACAAUAAUUUUAUAUACAGAUGUUGUUCGAAAUGCUGUUUUAAUCUCGAGGAAAAGAUUCUAUCAUUAUAUUUGUCAAGAUGGUUCACAAGUUUAGUAGAAGAAAAAAAAAAUCAAACAUUGGCACAUGGCUGGCUAUCAACUUUCACAAGCGGCAUGAGCUUCAUCCACAUAACUUUGUACCACAUGGAGUGUGUACCAUAUCGAUGGUCACUUCUUUGUGUUGUGUUUUAGAUCCCAUAAUGUUGGUUAAUUUUAAUUUUGAUUCAAAAUGGAAAUAUAGGAUGUGUGUAUAGUAAGGCCAAUAUUUUAAGACUCUGACUAAGCCUUAAAGGUCUCAGGUCUGCAACACCGAUGAGCCUCUCUCUCUUUCUCUCUCUCUCUCUCUCUCUCUCUCUCUCGCUCUCUCUCUCUCUCUCUCUCUCUCAUGUGUAGAGUACUCAGUAUUUAGUGUGACAGUGGUUUUGGUUGAGGUGGAAGAAACCCACGCCCUUUUCACGUGGGAAGUAUCCAAAGUGCUACGUCAACAUGUCAUGCAACUACGGUUGACCGGUUAGAUGGUCAGAAUUACAAUAAAUUAGUAAAAAAAGUGUCCAAUUUGAAAAAAAAAUCUUUGUCAAAAUCAGAUUUUUAUGAAAACUUAAUUAUGAUAAUUUGCAAUUUUUAAAAUUUUAAGAACCUAAACAUAAAUAUCAAGGGUUGCGUAGAACCAUAUUUAUGAUGUAAACCAAAAAGUUGACUUAAUGUCGAUUUUACUUGACUUGAUGUCUAUUUGACAGAGUAAUUAAAGUUGUAGUGCAACAUAAACCAAGCACACUAAUAGAAACAUGUGCUCAAAAUACACAUCGUUUAAAGUUUACGCAAAAUCAAAUGAGCCCCAAACUGAGGUAGAAGAUUGACAAUGGUAUGUGGAGCAUGUGAAUGAUGGAGAGAGAUCAAAGCAAAAAUGUUGCGGAAUCAUGACAAGUGCCAUUUUGGCUUCUAACAAGGCAAAAUUCAGUCCAACAAAUAUACGUGGACCACCACCAAAAGGGAGAUAUGAUGUUUGUCCCUUGGUCACCUUCGAGACACCUUCAGAAAAUCUUUCAGGCUUGAACUCGCUCACAUCAUCACCCCAUAUAUCACGAUCAUGGUGCAUAAGCAUAAUCUGCAAUUGGUGGAAAGUUCCAUCUGGUAAUUUUAUGUCCCCUAAUUUGGUUUCCUUAUGUGUCAUUCGUCUUACUGCCGGUGAGUAUAGUCUAAGAACCUCAUGCGGAAUCAUGCUAACCUGGAAAACAUAAUUGGAGAGAAACGAAUAUAUAGCAUCAUAGGAGGAUUGUCACAACUAGGAAUUCUAAUGUUUUUGUAAACAUUAACAAUGAUGACAUUUGUGACUAAAACUUGAAAACAUGCAUGAUUUUUAUUCAAUGACAACAAAAUUCCAUCAAACACUCUAUGCAAACACUUCAAAUGGUCAACAAAAGAUUGGAAACCCCAAAAAUCCCGGUUUAAGUCCACUAUGGACUAGGAUUUCCUUAUUGGGCCUAAUGGACCAAUAACCUUCCAAUUUGACUAUUUUGGGCUUAGGACCCUUAAAUAGGCCCUAAUUGGACCCACUUUCAUGAAACUUAACAUUUUAGGCCAUAAUGAAUCCACAAUGAAUUGGUUUGCCUUAAUGGGCCUUAUUGGGCUAUAACUAACCUAAUUAGCUUUCAUGAACCAUAAAUCCAUUCGUUUAUACAAAAUUGGGUCGUGAACUACAAUAAAGGCCCAAUGGGCCGAAAAUCUUGUCCAUAAACAUUAUAAUCUCAAACCAAGGAUUUAAGUGGGCCAAACUAAUUCAUUCCCUCCUUCCUUUGUUAGCCCAUUUCGGCCCAAGUAAGAAAAAAAAAAGAAUGAAAGAUUUAUCCAUGCCACCUCAUUUUUACAAGAAGGAUAACCAAGCAUUAUACUCAACAUAUAUCCAUGCAACUUCGCAUGUCUCCAUGCAACUAUCACUUCACUUCUUUCUCUCCUCUCUCUCUUUCUUCUUAUCUUCGGCCGAGGCUACCCAUACACACAUCACCUUUGCAAAUUACUUCAAACUCUCUCAAUAACAUCUUCAUGCUUCCUCCAAAUUUUCGAGAAUCAUAAGGGCUUCAAGAAGAAUUUCAUCCAAAAAUCACUUCCAACUAUAUACUAGUGGUAAGAUCUUGCAAACACGUUUUCCUUCUACACUUAAUCACUUUUCUUACAACCUUAAAUUCUUGAUCAUACUCCAUAGAACCCUUCAAAUUCGAGGACACUUCAAGGAGCUUGUUAGGGCCAAAAACAACACCAUCUUCUUCCAUUUGUUCUUCAAAACCAUCAGCAACCAAGCUAGGUGAGUUCAUACCCCCUUGUUUUCGGUUUUUACUUGUUUUUUUUUUUUUUGGGGGGGGGGGAGAAUACAAGUGUUAUGUGUUGAUCUAUGUGUGUUUGCAUGUAUUAUGUGAUUUCUUUGGUUUUUGGUUGUGAUAAUAUGUUAAUACUUGAGAUAUUUCGAGAUCUAUAGCAAAAGGGUGAAAGAAUCAUAAACAAAAACAUAAUAAACAACAUACAUCACAGAUCUAAGGGUCCUUAAGUUUAAUAAGUAAAAAACAAAGCCAAAGAUCUUUACAAGUGUCAUUUUGCAAAAAUAACAAAGAUUGGGUAAAAAUUGAAAAUUUUCGGUUUUAUCAGGGUUAUAAGGUAUUUAUUUAUAUAAAAGCUGAUUUUUAUGAAAAUAAUACUUUUUAAAGGGUCAAAAACAUAAAUUUUAGCUUAAUGGGCUUAAAUUUGGGCCUCACGAGUUUUGGGCCCAAAGUUGCGAAAAAUGAAGAAUUUGAGCGGCUGAAAGGGAUAUCUUAACAAACUAUGAGUCUAAAACGUAAAUAAACUAUUUCAGGGGCUGAAAAUGAUUUGAUGCAAAAAUUGGACUAAAAAUGCAUAGUUUUUUAUUUUUGGGUCAAAAUUGUAAAACUUAUAAAAUUUGAGCCAAAAACGUAAAAUUUUUACAAAUAAACGUUGGAAAUGAAAAAUACAAUAUUUUUGGGUUGAAAUUAUUAUUUAAAUAAAGUUUGGGUCAAAAAUGUCAAGAAAAAAUGGUUUAAGGACCAAAAAUGUCAAUUUUGAAAAAAAAAAGAGAGAGACUAAAAGUGCCAUUUUUAUAGAAAAAGAGGCUGCAAUUGUCAAACUAAAUGUUUUUGUGCCAAAUAGACAAUUAUAAAAUUUAGGGUUAAAAAUAUCAAGUUUAUAACGCAUNCGAAUAGUUUUUCAGAAAUUAGUUUGUAGAGAUGAUUAGUUCUUUUAUGCAAAUUGACUACUACACCAAAUAAAUAGUGUGUGUGUUAAAAACUCAAUUCAAGGUAAUCUUAAAAACUUUCAUACUCAACGCACAUGGCUAUAUAUUCAAUGUACAUUAACAUUAACUCAAUCCAUUCAAUUUAGACUCAUCCACAACGUUACAAUGUUAUAUAAUACCUUUAAUAGCAAUAAAACUAUAAGUCGGCGAAUAGUUUAUUUCGGAAAUUAGCUUCUUUUCGGGAGACACUGAUUAGUUACAAUUUAACGGUUAGUUUGGUAUAAAAAACAUAUCAAAUUAUGAAUAAGACACAAUAUAUUGUAAAUUAGAGUUUAGAAUUUAGUGUUUAAUGCCGAGGGGAGGGGGUUCACUUAAUAAAUAUAAGUAUGCUAUAGUUUUAGUUUUAGAAUAUAAUAUGUUACUUUGGGUUAAAAAUAAAAGUAACAACCGUUAACAUAAAUAACUACAUUGGUGUUAUGGUUUACAAAUGAAUCUUAUGUUACUAUUUAUUAAAAUGAAAAUGUUUGUUGUUAUUUUAGGUUUAAGAAAGUUUGGAAGUAAAGACAUAAAAAUAUGAUUAUGUUUUACUUUAAAUGUGACAUAUAUUUUUUGGGGUUAAAGAUAAAAAUACCUUAUAUUUUUUGUAUAAAAACAUGUUUAUAUCCCUUUUUGUUAAAAAGAUAUACGUUUAAACAGUUUAUUUACUUUAAUUUAUUUUUUUAAUAAAUAAGUUAUUUAGUGAAAUAAUUUAAUAUAAUUUAUAAAAAAAAAAAGUCUUAAAAUCAUAUGUAUACAAUUGAUAAUUUAUUAUUGACAGUUUUUAAAUCUUUUUUAAUUAUGUUUUAUUUAAAGCAAUUAAAAAAACUAAAAUUGCUUAUUUGCAAAUAUAACGAAAUUAAUAUAAUGGGCUUGAAUUCUUUUGGAGACAAUGGUCUACACCUUUUUUUAUUAUCACAAAUUAAGAAAGAAAUUUAACACGGCACAUUGCAAUUGACUAUCAGACUAUGUGCACCCUAAAUGAAAAAUAAAUAUUAAAAUAAAUUUUAUCAAAAACCAAAAAAAAUUAUUGUCUUCAUAAUUAAACAAACACACAAGUUAACUUCUAAACAGUUAUCAAAACAGAAAAAAAGUCUUUAUUUCUCUUUUUGCUACCUAUUUGUUGCACAUAAAACCAAACCAUUUCCUUGCAAUUACUAAAAAGGAAAUGAGGAUGUAGUUUACAAAGUUGGCUAAUUCAUAAAGGAAACCGAAUCACAUUAUGAAAACACAAAAACCUAUCACACCAUGUUUUGUUCCAUCUACAUCUUUUUGCAUGUCCUGUCUUCCCUUCAGCAUUUGCUACUCCAUUUGGUAUUUUUACAACUGCAACAUAUUCAAAAUGAAAACAAAACCCCUCAAAUUUACCAUUGAUAAAGAUACUAAGACUCCAUUCCACUUAUAUUGAAAGUUUUUUAGUGAAUAAUGGGAUAAUUGUUUUCAUACUUAACAUAUAAAUCAACUAUCAACAAAAAAACUAAAUAUGUAGGUACCGGGAUAAUAAAUCGAUGAAGAGGACGGUAAUGUCCAGAUCUGUACAACCAAUAGAAAACCCAAAUCAAUUAUUAACAACAAAAAAAUCGAUUAUAUCCUCUGUGUAUCUGCCAAGAGCGGUUCCAUCAGGGGCGUUUUUGUCUAACUAAGACCAAAAAGAGCAAAAUCUCUAUCCAACCCCACAUUGUUAUUUCUAUAUCAAGGGUGAGAGAAACAAAGCACCAAAAGGGAGCCAAACCAAAUAGAAGCAAUAGUCGCAACAACUAACAAUCAGAAAAAGACAAACAACCAAACAUCGGUGGAACGCCAAAGAAUAAAGGAAACAUGAACAUAAACAACACCGCCACCAGAAAGAGAAAGAGAAAGUCACGACAUCACCAACACACCACAUCACAGCAGACAGACCAAGCAAACAGACCAGAACGACCUUGGGGAAGAAAAGUCCAAUACGAAACCAAAAAGCCAGAAUGCAAGAAAAGCACCACCAUAAAAGCCUAUUGGGAGAUAUCGAUCAGGACAAGCUGUGGGAUAAAAUGACGCCUACUAAAAGUUGUAAUGAACCAUAACCAAAGAAACAAACAAGGGCAAAAUCAAUAAACUGCAACAUGCACCUCUCCAAACAACUUGAAAAACACCAAACCACUAUACAUUAGAUCUGCAAAACAACCGAAAGUAGAAGAAAAAAACACGCACACACCAAGACCACCCCCCCCCCCUAAAAAAAACGACCCAUGAAGAAAAAAACAUACAUGAAGAAAUAUCAAGAUGCAACAAAAAAACCAACAAAAAGUCUACCCUAAGCCGAUAUGACACUAGGUGGAUCUUUGAAAAGUUAGUGUCAUAAUAAUUAUAAAAAAAAUGCAAAAAAGACUAAAUUAAAGAAGGCUUUAUCCACUUCGUUAUCUAUUUCUUAGUGAAUUACCAAAACCUCAUCCUAUCUUUAUUACAAAUUAAAGAUCUCAGGCUCUUAGUGUGGAUAUAUCAAUGAAACAGAGAACCUAAAAUAGGAAGCAAAUGUAGAUUAAUUUUUUUAUGCAAUCCUAUAUUCUACAGAAGAUUUUAACUAAUUUAUAUUAUUGUAAAUGCAUCAUUAAAAUUAUACUGAACUUUUAAUAAUUAUUAAUUUGCACUUCAUACAUGAAAUAAUACCAAUUACAUAUAUAUAUAAACAUAUGAAUAAGGAUGGAGGAGUUACCGGUGGAUAAUGUGAUCCAUAAUUCCAUAUUUGGCUUUCGUUUCUACAAACAUUGAAGAAGUUGUAUCAAAAGAUGAAUUUAAGAUACUAACCGUUCUUGGCUCCCUGUACAAAAAGGAAACGAAAAUGAGUUUAGAAAUCUCAUUAAAUACCUGUAAUUUACUUAUUUAUUCAAAUAGAUAACUUGAAAAGUCAUUAUAAUGACAAAGUCACUAUAAACUCCUAUUUAAACUCCUAUUUAAACAAAGUCACUAUAAUCUCUCGUUUACUAUUUCAAUUUCAAGAUAAUGACAAAGUCACUAUAAACUCCUAUUUAAACAUAUCUAAACCGACCUUAACUAAGAGUAUGACGAAAAUGCCCCUGUUAAGCACCUUAACUACAAAUACUACACCUUUCACAUGUCUGUCAGAUCACAGGCUCCCAAUCUUAUUUCCUUAACUAUCUCACGCCAUGUGUAUCUCUAUUCACCAUAAUGCUAACAUAAACCAUUGACCAAAAUUAGAAAAAAAAUAAUUAUUUUGAUUUUUUAAGAAUAUUUGAACCAGCCUCUUCUCGUUGAAAAACAUAACACAAAAAAUCACUGAACUAAAAAAGACAUGGUCAAAGUAAAUACAAGUGACAUUAGGAAAGUCCAAGGCUACUGAAACUAUUUUUAAUAAGCAACUCACACAUAUUCAAGAUGGAUUGCAGAUAACAUGUUAUUUAUUGUCCAUCAAACAUUGUUAAAAUCACGUCGCUCCUAAAUCGUGAAAUGCGCUUACCACAGUUGCUUCUGACAGCACAAUUGAUUAAUCUACGAGUCGUCAAAUUGCCUAAGGACAAUAAAUAACAUGAUUAAAUGCAUAAUCCAAUUAAUCGAGUGAAUUGCACAAAGAUAAACGAAGAGCAACCUCGAGAGAACCUGUAAUGGUGAUGAAUGGGGAAGAAGGGGGAGACGGGGGAGAAGAAGGCGAUAGAGUAGCCAUUCCUGUGUUUGCUAUUUCUAGUAUUUUAACUCCUUGUUGGGUUAAGGAAUCAGAAAAAGGGUUAUAUAAUAAACCAUACAAACGUGUAAACUCGGAUAAAGGUCGAAUACUCACAGAUCAAGUAUUGCAUCCUUGUUUUCUUCACCGUUAAUGACCUCGAUUGCUUCAAGCCUGACGAUCGGAGCAACCUGAUCCCCGGUGUCUUCGUCGUCAGCAGCGGCUUCCUCCUCCUCUCUGUGUUCGGGAUCAUUGAUAGCCAUUAUAGUCACGGAUCAAAGAUGCUGAGACCUGAGAGCGUCUGUUAGGGUGAAAAUCGAAGGCGGCGGUGUCUUCGUCGUCAGCAGCAGCGACUUCCUCCUCCUCUCUGUGUUCGGGAUCAUUGAUAGCCAUUAGUUGAGGAUCGAAGAUGAUGAGUAGCAUUAGUCUCCAUUACAGAUCUAAAAAAUCAGAGGUUUGAUUGAUCUGUUCAUCACCGCCUCCGUAUGAAGUUAGGAAAGGGGCAUCUUUGGUGGUGUCGAUGUGAAUACAUUAGAUGGCAGUGUGUUUAGGGAUUCCUUGUAUUAGGGUGUAGUAUAUGAUCCGUGCAGCGUAUAGAAUAAUACGUAUAAUGCUUUAAUAUAUUGUAAAUGAGGUAAUAUAUGUUGUACCUCUUAAUUUUCAAGAAAUGGGCAAUAUCCUUAAUAAUAUAUAUAUAUAUAUAACUAAAGCUUCGUUAUAAAUGAAACGUUAAGAUACUUUUAACAUUGCGAAAAACAUUUAGCAUACAACAAAUACCAAUACUACGAACAUAAAGUCGAUAAACCAUAAAUGAUUCAAUGACUGGGCCCAAAAUCUUCUGCUCGUGCUAUUUGGUCUUUGUGGCCCAAUAUCAUGAUUAUUGGGCCCAAUGUAUUCAAACAUGUUUAUUGGGUCUUGUUGAUCCAAUUACAUGCCUAAUGGACCCUCAAUGGCUUUUACAUGCUAUUGGGCCUUAGUGGCCCAUUUGCAUUUGCUAGUAAGGUCCAAAUCAGUCAUAGGCGUGAUUGGCUAACAUGUCCGCCGUAUACUCGACACCCUAUAAUAACAUACAUGAUUAGUAGGUCUCUGCAGCCCUCUUCUCUUCGUCUAUUAGACUUACCUUUUAUUCAAGUAAACAUAAAUCAAGUUCUAAACAAGGUUAUUCAAUAUCAGUUGGAUUUAGUGGGAAAUAACGGGUGACACCAAUAAAUAUCGGUCGUAGUCUGUAGUUAUAACCAAAGUCUCUUGGAGGGAGAGCGAGAGUUUGUGUAUAGGUCUAUACGGGUGUGACUCCCCCACACCUAAGUUGUUCGCUACAGUUAGACUUGGCCAGUCUAGGGUGACAAAAUCUUGAUCAAAACCGGAGUUUGGAAAAAUGUCAAGACAGGCGAAUUAGUCAUUAUUAUGCAUGGUUAUAAAGACUCACAUAGAGAUCUAACACCAUCUAAGUAAUCAUGGGAAAACAUAUUCAUUCGUUGUGACGAUUUAAUAAUACAAAACUGUCAUACUACUUAUAUCAGAAAACAUCGGGUUUUCCGGGGGAACAACAUUAUUCACUCCUACAUACAACACUAUAAUACAAUAAUCAAUAAUAAUCACUUUUACUUGUUUUGAAAUCACAUACAUAUGCACUCAUGGGAUCAUCGCAUCUUUUUUGCAAACAGUUUUUGUACAGAAAAUAUCAGAUUUUCUGGGUUUUACAAACAAUACAAACUAAUUUUAUGCUUAUGAACUCACCAACAUUAUAUAUGUUGACGUUUUUAAAACAACUUGUAUUCUCAGAUAACAGAUAAGCUGAAGAAAGUUAUCAAGUGUGUUAGGAUGUUAUGUUUUGUGACUCUCAAACAAUUUAUGUUAUGGAUAUGUAAUAUUUAAAUAAUGUACUUGAUGUGAAGAAUGACAGUUGUACUAUGUAAUGUUGGUGAUGUAUGUGUUUGUUCAUGUAUAUUCACUGUGAUGGUAUUCAAUUGCUAGUCACACGAGCCCUCGGACGUUUUCGCCGUCUGGUUCGGGGGUGUGACAGGUUGAUAUCAGAGCCAGGUGUAUAGUGAACUCGCAUAUCUAACCACACAUUGAUAUGCAACUAUAAACCCAAAGAGGGACUAAACAACUCUGAACAAAACAAAUAAAUUAUAAUAAUAAACACUCUUACUUGUGCGACUUAGGAAAAUAAACAUAAUAACAAAUCAAAUAAAAUGAUUUGAAAAUCCUGACAUAUCGGUUAAGCCAGGACUGUUCAUAGUUGUAUUAAGGGGCGAAUGUAGCCUGGUCAACUACAUUUCCUCCAGAAUACAACUAUCACAUGCCCUGGGGCGAUCACGAUGGUCGGUAAACCUAAAACAUACCCUUUUAUUAACCAAGAAGAGAACAUCAACUUAAUUUAUAUGACAACUAAAACAUCUUAGGGGUAAUAAUAGUUUAUUUAUAUACCCUCCUUGUGUAUUCCUCAUCAUAGUCACUAUGGAAGACGAGCAUCAAGGCAUUCAGUUUCACCAGGCCUUGGUGGCCCACGGAAUGAUUGAAGACGACCCCGAGGAAGGACAAGGAGCAGCUCAUGACAUUGGACCCGACGAGUACACCGAUACAGAUUACGAGUAUGAGGGGACCGAUGACGACAAGGAAGAAGAAGGAGACACAGACGAAGCCUACGUUGAAUCACCUACCGACAAAAUGGACCAGGACCAUCCUGACCCACCAGGAAACCCCGUGGGAGAGGAUCGUUCGCUAGAAGAAGAGGUUACCACACGUCGACAACAGUUGUUUGCCAUGGAAGCAAGAGCCGUGCAAGCUGAGCAAGAACGAGAUGAAGUCAUCGGAGAGAUAACCGAGAUGGCUCAGUUGUUGGCACAACAUUUUGGGAUAUGAUAUCGUUCCCACCAUUAGGAGAUUUACAGCAUGAUCAGGAUCUGCAGUAUGUCUAUUGGUAUUAGGAAUCUCUUAUAUGAUCUAUGCUAGGUACCAUUGACUCUAUGUUUAAGUGAUUACACUACUCAUAGAGUCGUUAUGCUGCCGAACUUUGUACCCUUUAUGUAUGCUCUUUCGAGCAAAUUUUCAUGUAUCAAAGUAUGGAUAUUAUUAGUGGAAAAUAAUAUGUGUUCUAACGUGAUGUUGUUAUCUGCUAUGUGCUAUAUUUCCAUGUUGUAUGUCAAUAUGUGAAACUACUUAAUUAUAUGCAAUACACCUAGUUUAUAGGAUCACAAACUCGCAAAAAAAAAUUAUAGGCACUCAACAUCUUUUUGUUCCAUGACAGAAGGAUGCCUCAACGACCCACCCGUGGAAACCCCGAGCCGACACCACCAUAAAUCAACUCAGUUGCAUUUCAAGCAGUUGUAUCUGCUACAGUCACAGCGGCAUUGGCACGUAUCCACAAUGGGAACAAUGGUGGAGGCGAAGGACAAGGGGCUGGAAGCUCAAACAACGGAAUGAACCAGGGGCCUACCAAGACAUGCUCCUACAAAGAUUUCACCAACACCAAGCCACGAACCUUUAAUGGCACAGGGGGAAUGAUAAACUUGAAGAGAUGGAUCGAGAAGGUGGAAUCGGUGUUCGAGAUAUGUGAAUGCCCCGAAGAGGUCAAGGUGAAGUUUGCAGCAUGUAUAUUUUUUGAUCAAGCUCUCACCUGGUGGAAUGGACAUGUGGAGGCCAUGACUCUUCCCGUAGCCAACGCCAUGCCGUGGGCGGAAUUGAAAGAAAUGUUGAUGGUCGAGUACCCGCAUGGCGAAAUUCAGAAAAUGGAACAAGAGUAAUGGAACCUCACAGUCCGAAACUCCGACAUCGGUACUUACAUAUCAAGGUUUAGCAAACUGUCUCUGUUGUGCCCUGGCAUGAUUACCUCGGAAGGAAAGAAAAUCGAACGAUUCAUCUGGGGAUUAACUCCGCCAAUUCAAGGAAAUGUAAUAGCCGCAAAUUUUGAAACCUUUGGCAGCGGCAAGAGGUUGGCCAAGAAGUUGUACGACCACAACAACAAAAGAGGGGAAAAAGCAGAGGAAACUGAAAGCAAGAAGGAGAGUGAUAACAAGAAGGGAAAGAAUAACAAGCGGAAGGGAAGACAAGGCUCAGAGUCGUCAGAGAAACAACAAACAGUGAUAGUUCAUGUUGCAACCACCCAAGUUCCCUCCACGCUACAUGUUCCAACCUCAUCUACCCCAAGUGCCCCUAAGCAGUAUUCCGGAAAUCUCCCAAAGUGCAACAAGUGCAAUUUUCAUCACAAUGGUGAAUGCAGGGAGAUGCAUUGUACCAGUUGCCACCGAAAGGGUCAACGACAAAAUACUGUAGAAACUAUACUCCCCAGAACCAACAACCGGGAAACAACAACAACAACCGCAACAACAACAACAACAACAACAACAACAACAACAACGGCAACAAUACUGGGGAAAGCCACACUUGUUAUGGAUGUGAAAGGACUGGGCAUUUUUGUCGAAACUACCCCACUGUCAACAACCCAAGGAAUGGAGGAGCGGCGAGAGUGCUGACCCUAGGACAAGGAGAAGCGGUUCAGGAUCCCGCUGUAGUCACUGGUACGUUUCUCCUUAACAACACAUAUGCAUGCAUUCUGUUUCAUACCAUGGCAGAGCGAAGUUUUGUGAGUAAUAAAUUCAAAUAUUUGUUAAAACAACAACCCUAGAAGCUUAAUGAAACCUUUACGGUGGAAAUGGCUAAUGGGAAAACAAAAUCAACUGGGGAAAUCUACGUAGGAUGUACCCUGACCUUAAAUCAUCACGCGUUUCAAAUAAGUUUGAUGCCUGUAUCUAUUUGUAGUUUUGAUGUGAUUAUCAGCAUGGAUUGGUUGAACCCCCAUCAUGUCGAAAUUAUGUGUCACGAGAAGGUCGUUCGCCUUCAUCUCCCUAACCAAGAAACCCUAAUUAUAUAUGGAGACAAAUCCAGUAUGAACCUUCGUCUUAUCUCGUGUAUUAAGGCACAUAAGUGUCUACAAAAAAAGGACUUGGCGUUUCUGACUCAUAUCUUCGAUAAAUCCAAGGAUGAGGUUAGUAUUCGAGACAUACCAGUGGCUUGCGAUUUCCCUGGCAUCUUUCCUGAAGACCUUCCGGGGAUACCCCCAGAAAGGCAAAUCGAGUUGCGAAUUGACCUUGUGCCAGGAGCUACACCCAUCGCCAAAUCUCCCUAUAGAUUGGCUCCUGUGGAGAUGCAAGAACUGUCAAGCCAACUCAGCGAACUCUUGAGCAAAGGAUUCAUCCGACCUAGCUUCUCACCUUGGGGAGCUCCAGUCCUUUUUGUUAAAAAGAAGGACGGAUCCUUUAGAAUGUGCAUCAGUUAUAGAGAGCUGAAUAAGCUCACUAUUAAGAAUCGCUACCCACUUCCACGAAUCGAUGAUCUAUUCGACCAGCUUCAAGGAGCAAAUUACUUUUCUAAGACAGAUCUGCGAUCCGGCUAUCACCAACUCAAGGUCCGGGAAGAGGAUAUCCCCAAGACCGCUUUCUGAACUCGCUAUGGACAUUAUGAAUUUGUUGUAUUCGGUCUAACGAAUGCCCCUACCACAUUCAUGGACCUGAUGAAUCGAGUAUGUCGACCAUUCCUCGACAACUUUGUCAUCGUUUUCAUCGAAGAUAUUCUGGUCUAUUCUCGAAGCGAAGAGGAGCAUGGUCGACACCUCCGACAAAUCUUGGAAACCUUGCGAGCCGAAAAGUUAUACGCAAAACUCUCUAAGUGUGAAUUUUAGCUUCGUAGCGUAAAUUUCUUGGGUCAUGUUAUCAUCCAAGAAGGGAUACAUGUGGACUCUUCUAAGAUCAAAGCCAUUGAAGGAUGGGCAGUCCCAACGAAACCCACUGAAAUUCGACAAUUUCCGGGUCUUGCAGGCUACUACAGAAGAUUCAUUCAAAACUUCUCCAGAACGGCCAAGCCACUUACCAUGCUUACACAGAAGGGCGUACCAUUUGAAUGGACCAAAAAGCAGGAGGUUUCCUUCCUAACUCUAAAACGAGCUCUCUGUAGUGCAGUACUAUCAUUACCAGAGGGAACUGAGGACUUCAUAGUUUAUUGUGAUGCUUCGAAUCAGGGUUUAUGUUGUGUACUAAUGCAGCGUGGGAAAGUGAUAACAUAUGCAUCCCGGCAACUAAAGACACAUGAGGUGAAUUAUACCACCCAUGAUCUUGAAUUGGGAGCUGUGGUUUUUGCCUUGAAGAUUUGGAGGCUCUACCUUUAUGGUACAAAGUGCACCAUUUUCACCGGCCACAAGAGCCUCCAACACAUUUUAAAUCAAAAGGAGUUAAACAUGAGGCAACGAAGAUGGGUUGAGCUGCUAAACGAUUAUGAGUGUGAAAUCAAGUACCACCCAGGCAAGGCUAAUGUGGUAGCUGAUGCCUUAAGUCGGAAAGAGCACUCAAAUCGUCGUGUGAAAACUCUUUCAAUAACCAUUCAAUCCCAUCUGUCCUCGCAAAUCAAAGAAGCCUAGUUGGAUGCCAUGAAGACAGAAAACAGAACAAAAGAAGCGUUACAUGGAAUGGAAAAGAACUUCAAAGUCAAGGAGGAUGGAGCGUAUUAUUUCAUGAACUGGAUUUGGGUCCCUAAACUUGGGGGAUUCAGAGAGGUAGUCAUGAAUGAGGCCCACAAGACACGAUACUCCAUCCAUCCGAGUUCAGAUAAAAUAUACCUGGAUAUCAAGCAACAUUAUUGGUGGCCUAACAUGAAGGAAGAAAUUGCCACUUACGUUAGCAAGUGCCUCACUUACGCUAAAGUGAAGGUAGAAUAUCAAAAGCCCUCGAGACUAUUACAACAACCAAUAAUACCCGAGUAGAAAUGGGAAAGGACCAUGGACUUUGUGACUAAAUUAUCCAAGACAAAUGACGGAUUGGAUGCCAUAUGGGUAAUAGUCGACAGGUUGACGAAAUCUGCCCAUUUCCUACCAAUAAAGGAGACAUACAAGAUGGAACGACUGACGAGAAUCUACAUCAAAGAGAUUGUGAAACUCCAUGGAAUACCAAUAUCUAUCAUCUCAGACCAUGAUAGUAGAUUCACUUCACGCUUUUGGCAGACGGUUCAGAAAGCUAUGGGGACACAACUCGACAUGAGCACUGCUUACCACCUACAAACGGAUGAUCAAAGUGAGUGAACCAUUCAAACGCUUGAAGAUAUGCUUCGAGCAUGUGUGACAGACUUUGGAAGGUCGUGGGAUAUCCAACUGCCUUCAAUUGAGUUUUCGUACAACAACAGUUAUCACACAAGCAUCAAAGUUGCUCCUUUUGAAACAUUAUAUGGGCGUAAAUGUAGAUCACCAUUGUGUUGGGCUGAGGUAGGUGACACUCAGCUAGCAAGAGGGCCGACACCAAACAAUGCAUUAACAGGGCCAGAAAUAAUACGUGAAACGACAGAGAAGAUAGUUCAAAUCAGAGCUCGACUUCAAGCAUCACGAGACCGACCAGAAGAGCUACACUGAUAAAAAACGAAAGUCCUUGGAAUUUCAAGUCGGGGAUCGGGUGUUGUUAAAAGUAUCUCCCUGGAAAGGGGUGAUCACUUUCAGGAAACAGGGAAAACUAAACCAACGGUACAUUGAACCAUUCGAGAUUCUUGCCUGAAUCGGUCCAGUGGCUUAUAGACUGCAGCUACCUGUCAAUCUCAACAGUGUACACCCCGUGUUCCAUGUUUCCAAUUUGAAGAAGUGCUUACCCGACGAAACACUUGUCAUCCCCAUGGAUGAAAUCGAAAUCAACGAGAAUCUACUGUUCGUCGAGGAACUGAUUGAAAUCAUGGACAGUGAAGUGAAGCGUACUAAGCACAGUCAAAUUCCGAUUGUGAAAGUUCGGUGGAACGCAAAGCGUGGACCGAAAUUCACAUGGGAACGCGAAGAUCAGAUGAAGCAAAAGUACCCUCACUUAUUCUCGCACUCUCAGACCUAGUUUCAAAAGAAUUUCGGGACGAAUUUCCCUCUAACGGGGGGUGAUGUCACAACAAGGAAUUCUAAUGCUUUUGUAAACAUUGACAAUGAUGACAUUUGUGACUAAAACUUGAAAACAUGCAUGAUGUUUAUUCAAUGACAACAAAAUUCCAUCAAACACUCUAUGCAAACACUUCAAAUGGUCAACAAAAGAUUGGAAACCCUAAAAAUCCCGGUUUAAUUCCAUUAUGGACUAGGAUUUCCUUAUUGGGCCUAAUGGACCAAUAAGCUUCCAAUUUGACUAUUUUGGGCUUAGGACCCUUAAAUGGGCCCUAAUUGGACCCACUUUCAUGAAACUUAACAUUUUGGGCCAUAAUGCAUCCAAAAUGAAUUGGUUUACCUUAAUGGGACUUAUUGGGCCAUAACUAACCUAAUAAGCUUUCAUGAAACAUAAAUCCAUUCUUUUAUAAAAAAAAAUUGGGAUGUGAACUACACUAAAGGCCCAAUGGGUCGAAAAUCUUGUCCAUAAAACAUUAUAAUCUCGAACCAAGGAUUUAAGUGGGCCAAACUAAUUCAUUCCCUCCUUCCUUUGUUAGGUCAUUUCGGCCCAUGUAAAAAAAAUAAAAUAAAUAAGAAGAAUGAAAGAUUUAUCCAUGCCACCUCAUUUUUACAAGAAGGAUAACCAAGCAUUAUAAUCAACAUAUAUCCAUGCAACUUCUCAUGUCUCCAUGCAACUAUCACUUUAGUUCUUUCUCUCCUCUCUCUUUCUUCUUAUCUUCGGCCGAGGCUACCCACACAUACACAUCACCAUUGCAAAUUACUUCAAACUCUCUCAAUAAAAUCUUCAUGCUUCCUCCAAAUUUUCUAGAAUCAUAAGGGCUUCAAGAAGAAUUUUAUCCAAAAAUCACUUCCAACUACAUACUAGUGGUAAGAUCUUGCAAACAUGUUUAACUUCUACACUUAAUCACUCUUCUUACAACCUUAAAUUCUUGAUCAUACUCCAUAGAACCCUUCAAAUUCGAGGUCUCUUCAAGGAGCUUGUUAGGGCCAAAAACAAUACCAUCUUCUUCCAUUUAUUCUUCAAAACCGUGAGCAACAAAGCAAGGUGAGUUCAUACCCCCUUUUUUCGGUUUUUACUUGUUUUUGGGGGGAGAAUACAAGUGUUAUGUGUUGAUCUAUGUGUGUUUGCAUGUAUUAUGUGAUUUCUUUGAUUUUGGUUGUAAUAAUAUGUUAAUACUUGAGAUAUUUCGAGAUCUAUAGCAAAAGGGUGAAAGAAUCAUAAACAAAAACAUAAUAAACAACAUACGUCAUAGAUCUAAGGGUCCUUAAGUUUAAUAAGUGAAAAACAAAGCCAAAGAUCUUUACAAGUGUCAUUUUGCAAAAAUAACAAAGAUUGGGUAAAAAUUGAUAAUUUUCGGUUUUAUGAGGGUUAUAAGGUAUUUAUUUAUAUAAAAGCUGAUUUUUAUGAAAAUAAUACUUUUCAAAGGGUCAAAAACAUAAAUUUUAGCUUAAUGGGCUUAAAUUUGGGCCUCACGAGUUUUGGGCCCAAAGUUGCAAAAAAUGAAGAAUUUUAGGGGCUGGAGUGGAAAAAUUAACAAACUAUGAGUCUAAAACGUAAAUAAACUAUUUCAGGGGCUGAAAAUGACUUUGAUGCAAAAGUUGGACUAAAAAUACAAAGUUUUUGAUUUUGGGGUAAGAAUUCUAAAACUUACGGAAUUUGAGCCAAAAAUCUAAACUUUUUACAAAUAAAGGGUGGAAAUGACAAAUACACUAGUUUUGGGUUGAAAUUAUUAUUUAAAUAAAGUUUGGGUAAAAAAUGACAAGAAAAAAUGGUUUAAGGACCAAAAAUGUCAAUUUUCAUAAAAAGGGACUAAAGGUGCCAUUUUUAUAGAAAAAGGGGCUGCAAUUGAUAAACUAAAUGUUUUUAAGCCAAAUAGACAAUUAUAAAUUUUUGGGUUAAAAAUAUCAAGUUUAUAACGCAUGGUUAUAUAUAUAUAUAUNNNNNNNNNNNNNNNNNNNNNNNNNNNNNNNNNNNNNNNNNNNNNNNNNNNNNNNNNNNNNNNNNNNNNNUAUGGGAAAAGGGAAUAUAUGGCUGUUAUGUAUGUAUGCUUGGGUAUAGAACCUUCUAAUACGACAGCGUUUUGUAAAAAAAAAUUAAAAACUUGUUCAUAGAUUAUGCGGGUUUUUUCCAUGCAUACCGUUUGUUUCCUUCUCCACUCAUCUGAAACCCUAAAUCUUCAAAUCGUGGUUCUCCAUCCACAAUCAAAUUGAUUUAAGGUAAAAACUUUUUCUCCUCUACUGCACAUGAAAUUUCUGUUUUGGUUUAGUUGAUUCGGACUAAAAUGCAAUCAGCAUAUAAAAAAAACUUGUUUUUUUAUCAUUGUCGUCAAAAGAUUCUAUCAAUUUAAGAAAAAACACACUACAUGAUAUUUAAUUGAUUUCUUUAACAAAACAAUAGCUAAAAUCUAACGCAGUCAUCAUAAUUUUUAAUUGGUUUCUUUAGCUUUAAUUGGUUUCAGACAAUUAGUACAAACACUAAAAUUAAAGCCUUUAGUUUUGUAAAUCUAAAACGGAGAUAACAAUUAAUUACAAUUAAAUUUUCGUCUUCAAGUAGAUCAAUUAUAAAACCAAUAAUUUAAGAGUGUGUUCUAGUUCCAUGAAAGAAAUUAGAAAGAAACGAAAUUAACUCUUAGUAAUUUUUAACUUGUCAAUGUUUAUGCAUUAUGGGUUUGUAACUUUGUACUGAUUUUUUUUAUCCCUUGUGUGUGUGCUACAGGACAUGCAUAAUACCAUGGAUUUAGAAUUUCAAGAAUCUAAUGAGCCAUUACAAACAUAUGCAACUUAUGUUGAUGCUGAUGAGCAAUUACAAAGAGAUGCAUCUUAUUUUGAUGUUGAUGUUAACCUUGGACAUGAUGGAGAUGAAAGUAACGAUGAAGGUAUAAAUCAAAUGUUAAGAUAUUUUUAACAUUGCGAAUAAACAUUUAGCAUACAACAAAUACCAACACUACGAACUUAAACUCGAUAAACCAUAAAUGAUUCAAUGAUUGGGCCCAAAAGCUUCUGCUCGUGCUAUUGGGUCUUUGUGGCCCAAUAUCAUGAUUAUUGGGCCCAAUAUAUUCAAACAUGUUUAUUGGGUCUUGGUGAUCCAAUUACAUGCCUAAUGGACCUUCAAUGGCUUUUACAUGCUAUUGGGCCUUAAUGCCCCAUUUGCAUUUGCUAGUAAGGUUCAAAUCAAUCAUAUGCGUGAUGGGCUAACGUGUCCGCCGUAUACUCGACAACCUAUAAUAACAUACAUGAUUAGUGGAUCUUUGCAGCCCUCUUCUCUUCGUCUGUUAGGCUUACCUUUUAUUCAAGUAAACAUAAAUCAAGUUGUAAACAAGGUUAUACAAUUUCAGUUGGAUUUAGUGGGAAAUAACGGGUGACACUAAUAAGUGUCGGUCGUAGUCGGUAGUAUAACCAGAGUCUCCUGGAGGUAGAGCGAGAGUUUGUGUAUAGAUCUAUACGGGGGUGACUCCCCCACACCUGAGUUGUUCGCUACAGUUAGACUCGACCAGUCUAGGGUGACAAAAUCUUGAUCAAAACCGGCGUUUGGAAAAAUGCCAAGACAGGCGAAUUAGUCAUUAUUAUGCAUGGUUAUAACGACUCACAUAGAGAUCCAACACCAUCUAAGUAAUCAUGGGAAAACAUAUUCAUUUGUUGUGACGAUACAAUAAUACAAAACUAUCAUACUACUUAUAUCGGGAAACAUCGGGUUUUCCAGGGGAACAACAUUAUGCACUCCUACAUACAACACUAUAAUACAAUAAUCAAACAAUCACUUUUACUUGUUUUGAAAUCACAUAUAUAUGCACUUAUAGGAUCAUCGCAUCUUUUUCGCAAACGGUUUUUGAACAGAAAAUAUUGGAUUUUCUGGGUUUUACAAACAAUACAAACUAAUUUUAUAUCAAACAUGAUUAUGAACUCACUAACAUUAUAUAUGUUGACGUUUUCAAAACAACUUGUAUUCUCAGGUAACAGAUAAGCUGAAGAAAGUUACCAAGUAUGUUAGGAUGUUACGUUUUGUGACUCUCAAACAAUUUAUGGUAUCGAUAUGUAAUAUUUAAACAAUGUACUUGAUGUGAACAAUGACAGUUGUACUAUGUAAUGUUGGUGAUAUAUGUGUUUGUUCAUGUAUAUUCAUUGAGAUGGUAUUUAAUUGAUAGUCACACGAGCCUUCGGACGUUUCCGCCGUCUGGUUCGAGGGUGUAACAAGGAUGUAUGGUUUUAUAAAGGUAUUGAAAGGCUCACAAUUUUUAAACGAUUCAACCCAUUGCUUUCUGUUUUUUCAUGCCCAAAUACUUGUGAAACUUCUUCUCUGGCACGCUCUUGCCAAUUUGUGUGCUGAGCCAACAAAAACAUAGUGCAAACUAGUAAGAUUCCAAUAGUCUCUUGUCCAGCAAAGUAGAAAAGCUUACACUCAUCGAUUACUUCAUCAAUGGUUAAUCCAGAAUUCUUAUACCCAUGUUUAAUUUCUCUGUAAUUUGAUUCCAAGAGUAUUCCCAACAAGUCAUCUUUACUCCUUUCUACAGCUUUCAUUGCGAUUGUUCGUUUGUCAAUGAUACUCCUUAUGGUAGCCCUCACUUCUCGGUCAAUUUUCUUUAUCCUGUUAUUGGUUUUUGUUGGCAAAAACCUGGUAUUUAUGUGUGAAUUAUAUUAGAUCGUCUCUUGAUCAAGAGAAAAACAAUGUAAUAAAAUAUUUUUCGGAAAGAUAAACACCUCGAUCCAGGAAUGUAGAAUGAUUGUAUAGCGUCUAUAACUAACACUGCUAGUUCCCGUUGUAGCUCAAAUAUUAUAUUCCCUUCUUCAAUGUUACUACCUAAUGUUGUACGUGAAAUAACUUCACUGGAUAACAUUUCACUACAAGGAUCGAGCACUAUGCAGACAAAUGAUAAUAAUAACAAUAGAAAAAGGUCCCAACCUUUCAUAUAGUAUAUACAAGUUUUCAGCAUUAGAGACAUCAAAUAAAGUCAGUUUAAUGGUAAAGGUAUUGCCCUUGACAUCCAAAGGUCGCACCUACGAAUAAUGUAAUCCCCAAGAGUGUGUUUUUCAAACAAGCUUAAAAAGUUGGCCUGUUUGCCAUGUAUGUAACUAACUUGUUUUUUUUUUGAACGACCAUGUUAGUAUUUGUCUGGGAUUGAACCCAAGACCUCCUGCUUAGAAACCCUAGUUAGACACUUUGUAUGUAAGCAACUUGUAACCGACAAAACCUCCUAAAAAGCUAUAAACGAAAAAAAUUAAACAAAACUUCUGUAAGCAACUUGUAACCGAGAAAACCUGCUAAAAAGCUAUAAAUGAAAAAAUUAAACAAAACUUUCGAUGUUACUGAACCUAAAAUAGGUCAAAGGGUAAAACCAAAGAUUUUAUAAAAACUUAAUGACUUUUAUUUCAUUAGCCCUAUUACCCAAAAGCUUGUUUUUUAAACAAGCUUAAAAAGCUACCAUUUCUGGCUCAACGCCAUGUCCGCCGAUUGAGCCUAGUCCGCGUCGACGUGGUUUGCCACGUCUUUAAGCAACUUGUUGUAACCGGAAAAACUUGCAUGCUAAAAGGGUAUAAACGAAAAAAUUAAACAAAACUUGCAGUUUCACUAGACUGAAAAUACAUCAAAAGAUAAAACCAUACAUUUCUCGAAAACCUAAAGGCUUUUAUAUUAUUAGCCAUAUUUACUAACAUGUAACCCAAAUGUAAAAGCAAGAACCAAAAGGUUGCACGUGCCCAUUAUUAUGCCAAUGUAUGAAUCUGAGGAAAAAAAUUUAAAAUCAUACGUAAAAAAAUGGGAAGUAAGAAUAAUAAUGUAAAAGAUUUGAACAGCUUACUAAAAUAAUUAAAACAAAAUAUUUAAAUAUUAAAUAUAAAUUGCAGCUAAUAAUAUAAUAAUUAUAUUAAUAUAAUGAUUAAUAAAUAAUAAUCAGUAAUAAUUAAAAUAAAAAAUGUAUAUAUAAGAAACGUAAAAUUAACUAUUAAUUAUUAAUAAUUUACUUUUACAAACUACAAUUAAUUAAUUAUUAGUAUUUAAUUUCGCAAUCUGCUGAUAAAAUAAUUAUUAAAAAGAUUUGAUAAGUAAAAAUGCGAUUAGAUAUAUUGGAAGCCAAGACAAAACUGCAUAGACAAAGUUCAGGAAAUGAGCAAGAAGGUAGGAGUUCUUAGGCGGCUAUAGCUAACAACUGCGCGCCACACUCUUUUCUUACCAAUUUCCUUUACUCAGACUAUAUCGUUGACUAUAAUAAUUAGUCAAUAUUUGAACAAACCAUUGGGGAAUGAUCGUGUAUAAAUAGAUCCUUCAUAAAUGGUUACUCACACAUUCAUAUUCUUUCAAUCAUUGAAAAAAAUGGCUAUAAUCUUAAAAAGAGGAAGACUUACCUUGGCUCUUAUCAUCCUCAUCGUCAUUAGUUCAUCAUCUCACAUCAUUACAACCACCGCCACUGCUCGGAUUCCGUACAACCAUGUCCGCCAACUAGGUUCGGUUUUCUCUAAACCUCUCACAGUUAAUAAUAAAAAAACACUAAUAGAAGUUGCUCCAGUAUUUCUUAUAAAGUAACUAAAGUUGCAUUGUAAAUUCGUGUAGUUAAACUUUUUUUUUUAUAAGGAGUUGUAGCGUUAAUUAUAUUCUUCUGAUUUUGUUUUCUAUAUUUAUUUCAUUCGUGUAUUUAGUAUCAAUAGUCUAUAGCUAACUAAUCUGAUAUCCAUUCAUCACGGAUUUCCAGAUUUUCUGAUCAAACUAACCUUAUAUAAGAGUGCAUAUACAACUUGUCCUUCCCUAAAUAUUAAAAAUAUAAUUAGAAAUUGAUGUAUGCAGCUACAAAUUGCGAUUAUGACCCCAUACAACAAAAUGAUGGACCCGACGGGUGUGGUAGUGGAAGUGGAAGUGGAAGUGGAAGUGCAUCACCAAAACCAAAACCAAUACCAUGCGGUUCAAUGCCAGGUAGGAGCCUUUGUAGGAAGGGUUGCUGUGGGAAGACUAAAAUGGGAAGAGCCGAAUGUUGCUAGUAGUACGGAGGUUGUACUACAUCAAAUAAUGUAUCUGAGUCCCUUGUUUAGAUCAGAAAAUAAUAUUUCAAAUCAUUUCCACCCUCUGCUUUUCCUUAAAGUUGUCUAUGUAUGAGUAUGUAUGUCCACAAAAAUUUUAUAUCCAGAUAAUGUUGUUCGAAUUAAUCUCGAAGAAAUGAUUCUAUCAUUAUAUUUGUCAAGAUGGUUCACAAGUUUAGUAGAAGAAAACAAAAAUCAAACGUGGCUAUCUAACUUUAACUUGCACAAGUGGCAUGAGCUUCAUCCACAUAACUUUGUACCACAUGCAAUGUGUACCAUAUCGCCAGAAGGCGAAGGUCACUUCUUUGUGUCGUCUUUUAGAUCCCAUAUCGACCUGAAACUAAAUGCUGGUUAAUUUAAUGCUGAAUCAAGAAGGAAAUAUGGGCUGUUUGUAUAAGGCCAAUAUCCUAUGACGGAGACUAAGCAUUAAAGGCUAAUCAUGAUGGCGAUGUGGCAAUGAGCUACAGGAAGGAAUGACUAUGCACACAUCUCGAAGGUUGAUCGGUUAUUUUGGUCAGAAGUUUAACAAACUGAGUGUCUAAUUUAAGAUAAAAAAUUCAUUCUCAAAAUUGGAUUUUUAUGAAAACUUAAUUACCAUAACUUGCAAUAUUUAAAUUUUGGAGAACAUAACUAGCAUGUAACAUAUAAUCACAAAAAUUUUAGCAAAAUGGUAUUUUGGACAAUUAACUACAAUUAUAAAAGGAAAUUUUCGGAUUUUUAGGGAUAAUUAAUUCUCAUAAUUUUAAAUUUUUGAAUUUUUUUUAAUUAAUUUAAUUUUAAUUCUAAUGUAAUUUGUAAACAUAAUCAAUUUUAUUCUGUCAGAAUAUUUUUUUGGUUAGAAUAAUGCUCUUUCAUAAUUUUAUUCUAUUAGAAUAUUAUUGAAGAAUAACAAAAUUCUUAAAUCCGAGGUUGAAAAAGAACAACAUUCUAAUAUAUUUUUAUACAUCCGAACUUAAAUAAAAUUCAUAUGUAUUCUUACAGACUAAAAGUCUUAUACAUUUUAAUUUAAUUAUACAUAUUCUAAAAGAAUAUCAACACAAAAGAAUAAAGUUCUUAAAAAUAACAACAUUAUUAAAAUUAGAGUAUGAUCAAAGUUUAUUCAUUCUUCAACAUUAUUAAAAUAACAACAUUAUUAGGUCUUCAACUCAUGCUUCCAACCAUUCCUAUCACAAAUACAACAAAAACUAAUAAUAGUUAAAAACAUGUUACAAAUACAACAAUCACUUUAUAUAUUCUGGUAGAAUACAUAGAAUGUGAGAGAAUACAUAGAAUAUAUUCUGACCGAUCCAAGUUGUGAGAAGAAUGAAAUUUGAAUCCCUAGAUUUACCUGCACUCGCUGGUCAAAAUCUCAUCAUUCUAUUGUAUAUUAUUCUACGAGAAUAAUACAAUCUUUGUUGAAUAUUCUAACAGAAUAAUUCUUUCUUGAAGCUGUAAUCAAGAUACUGAAAAAAAAAACAAUUAUGUGUCAUAUCAUAGAAUUUAAUCCUUAAUAAAAAAUUCAAAAAUAACAUUGAAAACCAUGCAAAAUAAAACAUUCUUAAAGAAUCAUUAAACUAAAAGCACAAUUACAAUGCAAAAUUCUAACAGAAUGUGUAUAUGAUAUUGAAGUGUUUAAAAAGCAAUAUAUAUGCACCUCCAAACUUUUCCAUGUGAAUUAAAUAUGCUUCAGCUAUGUAUUUAUAUAGAACCAGUAUAGCAUAUGCACCUCCAAUCUUUUCCAUAUGAAUUUUAAGUGUAGCGUUUAAAGAACAAUAUUUUGAAAUUUGAAGUUAUCUAUCCAAAUAAUAUGAAUUUGAAACUAACAAGUCACACUGCAUCCGAACUUUGAAUUACAAAGUCUAUGGUACAUGAAACUUCAUAGGUAAAUGCACUUGAUACACAAAUAUAUAGAUAUUACUAUCAAUUGCCAGUAGCAUCUUCUUUUUGAAAAAGAUGCGUCGACUUUUCUUUGUACCCCCCCCCNNNNNNNNNNNNNNNNNNNNCCCCCGGAACAGGAAUUCAAGCUAACCUAACCUGAGUUUUAAUUACAACCUCAUAUAAAAAGACUAUCAACGGAAUGCCCAAGCACACAAAUGAGAAACUGGCCAAAAGUUAUCGUAUUCAAAAGUAGAUAUUAUCCGAGUUUCCUCUUCUGGUGAAACUAUAUAUGAGCAUGUCAACGAAGGCUUGAUUAUGUGACAAACGUGACAUAAGUGAAAAAGUGAUAAGGGGAACAUCACCAAUCAAUUUACCAUUAUUCAGUCGAAAAUUUAAGCUUGUUCAUUAUCAGUGUUAAGCUUAAAGUUCAGGAUCACAAAGAAUCAUAUGUAGAGAAUCGUGUUUGUGAAUUAGAAGAUAUAGACGAAUUAAAAGAAGUACAUGUUGGACUAUGUAGUACCCUAACUGAAAUACAAAACAGAAUAAAUUGACUGAGAUAAUCGAAAUUUAAAUCCCCUACUAAUGAACAAGCAAAUGAUUAUGAUGUGAUAUAUGAUUAAUAAGAUAAAAUUGCCUACAAUACCUUGUAACAAUGCCUUCAUAGUUCCCUGCCUAUAGAGCUACAGGGAGACCUGAAGCGGCGAGAAUAGCUAAUAAGACACGAUGUGUGCGCAUCAGAAAAAAAGAAGCGAUCGACUCCUUCUAUCUGUGGUGUGCUUCGACCGGAAGAAGAAAGAAGAAAUCGAGGUCUUGAUCGGUUGUGUUGUGGGGUGUCGGUCAUUCAUCUUGGUAAUUCCUUGAAUAUAAGACACGAUACAAGAGAGAGACUAGGUCAAAAAUAUUGAUUGUAUUUCCUUAAUUGCAGGAUUUCAAUUAAAUGAUUCCUUAAUUAAAAAGUACAAAAUGUCCAGAAUACCCUUAAAUUAUUUAUUUAAUUGUUUAUUAUUUCUUGAAUUCUCAUUGGUGCAUUUAGGCACACAAUACUUGCUAAAAACAUUUGAAUAUAUAUAUAUAUAUNNNNNNNNNNNNNNNNNNNNNNNNNNNNNNNNNNNNNNNNNNNNNNNNNNNNNNNNNNNNNNNNNNNNNNNNNNNNNNNNNNNNNNNNNNNNNNNNNNNNNNNNNNNNNNNNNNNNNNNNNNNNNNNNNNNNNNNNNNNNNNNNNNNNNNNNNNNNNNNNNNNNNNNNNNNNNNNNNNNNNNNNNNNNNNNNNNNNNNNNNNNNNNNNNNNNNNNNNNNNNNNNNNNNNNNNNNNNNNNNNNNNNNNNNNNNNNNNNNNNNNNNNNNNNNNNNNNNNNNNNNNNNNNNNNNNNNNNNNNNNNNNNNNNNNNNNNNNNNNNNNNNNNNNNNNNNNNNNNNNNNNNNNNNNNNNNNNNNNNNNNNNNNNNNNNNNNNNNNNNNNNNNNNNNNNNNNNNNNNNNNNNNNNNNNNNNNNNNNNNNNNNNNNNNNNNNNNNNNNNNNNNNNNNNNNNNNNNNNNNNNNNNNNNNNNNNNNNNNNNNNNNNNNNNNNNNNNNNNNNNNNNNNNNNNNNNNNNNNNNNNNNNNNNNNNNNNNNNNNNNNNNNNNNNNNNNNNNNNNNNNNNNNNNNNNNNNNNNNNNNNNNNNNNNNNNNNNNNNNNNNNNNNNNNNNNNNNNNNNNNNNNNNNNNNNNNNNNNNNNNNNNNNNNNNNNNNNNNNNNNNNNNNNNNNNNNNNNNNNNNNNNNNNNNNNNNNNNNNNNNNNNNNNNNNNNNNNNNNNNNNNNNNNNNNNNNNNNNNNNNNNNNNNNNNNNNNNNNNNNNNNNNNNNNNNNNNNNNNNNNNNNNNNNNAUAGUUACAUAAAGGCCCCUAUACAAAACAAAGUGAAAAAUAAAGACUAUAAAUUAACACUCAUGAUUGUUACUGGUUUAUCGAUAUCAUUUUUUUGGGAGCAAAUGUUUCAUGGAAAAUGAGCAUUAACUGGUAUGGAACCUGGAAUCAUUGGAAAUUAAGGCUUUUUUACGACCGCAACACAUGCCGACUUUAUUGAUGUACCAAAAGGACCUAUUUACUUGAUCUACGCCCUCAACAAUUUGAAAAGGCUCUUCAUAGAACAGGUACCUUUUUUUAAUGAUGGUUUCUCUUAGUUUCAAUUGCCAUACUUGCUUUGGUGUAUAAUACAUAAUUCCAUCAUAAAACUAAAAUUAUUGUUUGUUCUUACAUGAUGUUUUUUUUUGAAAAAGUUGCAUAUUAGUUGUUUUGAAGAUUCUGUUUAGAAUGCAACCAUUACCUAUAUUUCUAGGACAUACUAAGACUGUUAAGCAUCUUCUAAGAUCCAUUUACCAUUCAAAUUUAAAGUUGCAUAUGCUGAACGUCCUGAGGACCAAUAAACCUAGAUCGAUAUACUUUGAGUUUCAACUGAUAAAAAUAUGUGAACCAAAUGCUAACCAAUAAUUGCAAACCAAUUGUUUGGUAAGGUUUGUUGCAAAAUUAUACCAGGCUUUCAGAUAUUGCAAGUUUUUUUUUACUGUUUUUAGUGAUUAAUAUGCUAUCUCAUUAUAACUGUGAAGUGGAGAGGAUACCGAUGGAAGAUGUAAGCACUUGCUUGAUAUCAACCCUAUUUCUUUUAAGAAACUUAGAGAUCUAAAAUUAAAUGUGAAUGAUAUUACAAUCGUUAAUAACAGAAUAUCAGUAGUUCAGUCUCUAAACAAGCGGGUUAUGAAGAUGCAAGAGUGUUAAUUCAAGAAAUAUGUCCCUACUUUUUUGACAUGAUCCAUUUUUCUGCAUAAAACGUUCAGGUCUUUAAUUUAGACAAUUUUUUUGCUAAACCUUUUACUUUGUUUUAUUUUUCUUCUGUUAACUCAUCUUUGGUCAUGUUUUCAGAUUGUUGACUUGGAAAUCUUGUAUUACAAAGCUUUCAAGUCAACUAUAUAUGUCAUAGAAAGUGAAGAUAUAUCAACCAAGUGAACGCAAUUGAAUUUUGCCUCCCUUCAUUCCACAGCAGAAAACGUACAUAUACAGGGAGAUAGUUAUAAAAUAGGAAAUUACAAUCUUCUAAUUUUGGAGCAAUAUCUUGACUAGGUAUAUAAAUACCCUACUAAUAUACAGCUAAUGAUUUACAACUAAUAUACAGCUAAUACACCCCCUCAGUCUGAGCCGGAGGAGACCGAAGGCACAGACUGGAUCGAAAACGAGUAAAUAGUUGACGCAGUAGCCCUUUUGUGAAGAUGUCCGCAUACUGAAAAUCUGCUGGGAUGUGAAGAACUCGAAUGUCACCAAUGCGAACUUUUUCUCGUACAAAAUGGAUAUCGAGUUCCACAUGCUUUGUACGUUGGUGUUGCACGGGAUUUUCAGACAAAUAAACUGCAGAUAUGUUGUCACAAUAAACAAUGGUUGCUUUGCGAGUUGGGACAAAUAAUUCCAAAAGCAAGUUGCGUAGCCAACUUGUUUCAGCAACAACAUUUGCGACCCCACAAUAUUCAGCUUCGGCGCUUGAUCGUGAUAUAGUAUGUUGCCUUUUCAACGACCAAGAUAUCAAAUUUUCCCCAAGAAAGACACAAUAACCCGAAGUCGAGCGUCGGGAAUUCGGGCANCCCCCCCCCCCCCCCCCAAUCAGCAUCAGAGUAGGCGAUAAGUUGACUUGAUAUGGAGGGAGAGAUAUGAAGACCAAGCUGAAUAGUGCCCUUAAGAUAUCGAAGAACUCGUUUUAGGAAUUUGAAGUGGGGUUCCCGUGGGGCAUGCAUAAAUAGACAUAAUUGUUGUACCGCAUACGUGAGAUCGUGUCUAGUAAUAGUGAGAUACUGUAAGGCACCCGCAAGUUUGCGAUAUAAUGUUCCAUCAGCUAAUAGAUCACCACUGUAUGCACUCAAUUUUGGCGAUGUAUCAACUAGUGUGGCACUUGGUUUGCAAUUAGCCAUGUAAGCACGAAAUAGAAUAUCAGCAGCGUAUGUUUCCUGAGACAGGAAUAACCCGCCAUUUUGGCGUUUGACAUGGAUCCCAAGAAAGUGGUUAGAGCCCCCAAAUCAGACAUAGCAAACUCACGAGAAAGUGUGGCAAUGAUGUUGGUGAGUAGCUUGUCAGAAGAAGCGGUGAGGAUGAUGUCGUCAACGUACAGUAGUAAAUAGGCCAUUUCAUUUCCUUGUUUAUAGACAAAGAGAGAAGUGUCACUAACGAUGCUCCGGAAGCCGCACUUAGUGAUAUAGGUGGAAAAUCUAUCAUACCACGCACGAGGAGCCUGUUUAAGUCCAUACAAUGAUUUUCAUAACCUGCAAACAUGAUUAGGAUAAGUGGCAUCUGUGAAGCCCAUGGGUUGAUACAUGUAAACAGUCUCGUGCAAGUCCUCGUGAAGAAAAGCAUUUUUGACGUCAAUUUGGUGUAUUGGCCAACUCCGGGAAACUGCAAGACUAAGCACCGUUCUGAUGGUGGUUGGUUUAACCACGGGACUAAAAGUCUCUUCACAAUCAAUACCAACUUGUUGACAUUUUCCAUUAACGACAAGCCGAGCUUUAUACCUUUGUAGAGUGCCAUUGGCAUUGAAUUUAUGUCUAAAGAGCCAAUGGCACCGAAUAAUAUUAGCAUUGGACGGCCGAGGUACCAAGUCCCACGUGUGGUUGUCCAUUAAGGCUCGAUAUCCUUCGUGCAUGGCAGUGCACCAAUGAGGAUCAGAUAGGGCCUUGAGGUGAGAAGUGGGUACGGGUGAGAUGGCAUGGGAUGCGGAAGUGUGGAGAUUAAUGGGUUCCCGUGGUUUUAGAGAACCAGACCGGGAGCGGGUUGUCAUGGGAUGGGUGUUAGUANNNNNNNNNNNNNNNNNNNNNNNNNNNNNNNAAGAGGGUUCGGUGCUGAGGGUGGGGCAUUACUGGAGAGUGGUGUAGGCAAGGUGCUGAUAGGUUGGGCAGGAAGUGGGUUUCUUACAGUUGUUGAAGAAGGAACAGGAGGUGUGUGCUUGUUUCGGCGGGGGGGGGGGGGGGGUGGGGGGGGGGGGGGGGGGGGGGGGGGGGGGGGGGGGGGGGGGGGGGGGGGGGGGGGGGGGGGGGGGGGGGGGGGGGGGGNGGGGGUGAGUGGUAUGGAAGGGGAUGAGGUGGGGAUGUUAGGUAUAGGAUCAAAUAAGGUGGGAUAGGGGGCAGACUCCAGGAAGGAGUAGUCAAUAGGUGUAGAUAUGGGUUUAUUUGCGAGAGGAAAAGAGGUUUCAUCGAAUGUUACAUGACGGGAUAAUAUGAUCUUGCCCGUGGAGAGGUCAAGGCACCGAUAGCCAUGGAAAUGGGCCGGAUAACCGAGAAAGACACAAAGUUUGGCACGAAGAUCUAAUUUGUGUGCUCGAGUGGAGGUGGUGUUGGGAUAACACACACAUCCAAACACUCGUAGGUGGCUAUAGUCAGGUUGGCGGAGGUAAAGAGCUGACAUGGGAGUGUGAAAAUUGAGAAGUUUAGUCGGGAGGAUGUUAUGGAGAUAACAGGCCGUAUGUAGAGCCUCGACCCAGAAAUGUGGUGGAAUAGAUGAAUGCGUAAGAAGUACAAGCAUGAUUUCAUUAAGUCUUCGAAUCAUGCGCUCUGAUUUCCCAUUUUGUUGGGAUGUUUGGGGACAAGAAAACCGAAAGUGGAGGCCGUUCGUGUCAGCAAACAGUUUGGAACGAAUGGUUGUCGAAUUCACCCCCUAGAUCACAUUGGAAGGCUUUGAUUGGUAAGUUGAAUUGGGUUUUAAUGUAUUUGUGAAAAGUUGAGAAUUUUGUGAAGGUUUCGGAUUUGAACUUUAACGGAAAUACCCAUGUGUAUUGGGUGUAAUCAUCAAUUAAAACCAUGUAGUAUUUAUAUCCAGUUUUACUUGUUACGGGUGAGGACCACAAGUCACAAUGAAUUAUAUCAAAGGGCAAUAUAGUAGAGGAGGUAGAAAUAGAAAAAGGUAGACGUUUAUGCUUGGAAAUUUGACACAAAUUGCAAACUAAAGUUCGACAACAUUUAUUACAUGGAAUGAUUUUAUUUGAACUAAGAAAAUCCAAAACAGGGAGGCCAGGAUGGCCCAAACGGUCAUGCCAAACAUCUUGAGCACUUGCGGACAGAAAAGUGGAACCCGUGACUGGGUAGGUGAGAGGAUAAAGUUGACUGGAGCUAUUGUGGCGAGAUAUCAUCCGGCCUGUCCGGUAAUCCUUCACAGAAAACCCAUAGGGAUCAAAUUCAACAGAAGCCUUUUUAUCAAUUGAAAAAUUUCUAACUGAAAUAAGGUUUUUAAUGAUAUUUGGGGUGUAAAGGAUAUUUUUAAGGUGCAGGUCUCGAGUGGGUGUUUGAAAAGAUGAGUCACCUGAUCCUUGCACUAGCACACGAGCACCAUUUCCUACAAAUAUAGAACCAAUUGGACAGGAUAACGAGGGAUUUGAAAUUUUACCUUGAUCUCCAGUGAGGUGAUCAGUGGCUCCCGAAUCCAUAUACCACUGUUCAUCAGGUUGUUCCAGAUUCAUUGCUUGAAAAGCUUCACCUGUUUGAGUAGGUUCCAUCGGGUCAUAAGCUGUGAGAUGAGCUUGAUUAUCUGCCAGGCCAUUGGUACGAGAAGCAGGCCUACGAGAAGAAGGAGUCCAAGGCUGGGAUGGUGGACAAUUCCAUGGAGAGUUCCAGCCUGCAGUUGUUGGGUGAGGACAGGGAGGUGGGCUCCAAUAAGCCCAAUAGGGAGCACGAGCAUUUGAGGAAAACCAAGGUUGUGCCUCUGCUUGCUGAAGCUGCUGAGACCUGGGCUGUUGAUUCGUGGGGUUGCGCCUUGGAGCAGAGGAAGAACUACUCUGCUGAGAAUUAGGCCGCUUGCCAUUUGGCAUGUUGCCUUGGCGCCGACGAUUGAAUUGAGUAGAUGGAGCAGAAUGUACAGCAGCCAUGGCUGUGGGUGGGGAUAGGGUCUCACGGGCUAUCUGCCUUUGGUGUUCGAGUUCCAGCAUACUCACAGCCGUCUCCCACGAGGGAAGAGUCUGAUUAAUGUAGGCCGCUGUUGUAUCAUACCCAGCAGGUAAUCCACGGACUAAUUGAAGAACUAAUCAUUGAUUGUUGACAGGGCAGUCCACAUCAUUAAGUCUAUCACCUAGUUCCUUGAGCUUUUGACAAUAUGCUUCGAGGGAUGGCAUGGCUUUCAGAGUGAGAUUGUUGAACUCGUGUUCAAGGGCUGCAGCCCUUGAACCUUUAUUAUUGAGGAAUAUGGUCUGAAUGCAACACCAAGCUUCACGAGCCGUAGACUGAGUUUCAAGGACACGAGUCAGCAGGUCAUCAGAUAGUGUCCCAUAAAUCCAUUGCAGGACGAUUGCAUCGAUUUCGGACCAUGAUUCAUACUCUGGAUCGGUUUCGGCAGGAGGUUUCGUACCAUCAAUAUGUGCCAUGACUUUAUAGCCCUUGGCAUGAAGCUGGAAUAACUUAACCCAUGAUGAGUAGGAGACCUUCAAGCCAUCGAGAACCCUGACCUUGUGUUGAAUAUUGGCCACAGUAUACACAGGGUGCAAGGUUUUGGCGACAACAGUGGAUGAGGCUUCCAGCUUUUCAGACAUGAGAACAGGUUGGAAAAAGAAAAAAAUAACAGAGAAAAGAAAAUAGUAGGAGGUGCAGAUCGUGAUCUGCAGGUAAGGAUUUUAGGUAGAGAGCGAUGGCUCUGAUACCAUGAACGCAAUUGAAUUUCGCCUCCCUUCAUUCCACAGCAGAAAACGUACAUAUACAGGGAGAUAGAUAUAAAAUAGGAAAUUACAAUCUUCUAAUUUUGGAGCAAUAUCUUGACUAGGUAUAUAAAUACCCUACUAAUAUACAGCUAAUGAUAUACAACUAAUAUACAGCUAAUACCAAGAUGUCAUCUGUGAAGAUUAAUUAAUUUUCCUGCCUCAUUUUAUGUUAGUCUUACAUGUUUUAUCAUUCCUCGCAUAAUCUUACUUUGUCGAUUUCGCCCUAGCUGCACAAUGUAAGAAAUUGUAUCCCAAAUGUUGAUCUAGCUCCUUGGUAACUUCAAGACCGAGGUUACCCAAUGUUUUGCACAUUCCGCAAAAUAUGAAUAUUUUUUCUUAAAUAUGAUUGAUUUUUUAACUUUUUAUUUAUCUACCAAAGCAUAUUGGUUUUCUUGAAAUUUUCCAAAUUAUAAAAAAGAAGAUAAAGCUCUUAUCAUCACGACCUACAUAUGCCUUCCAUAGGGUUAAUUGCCUUUUCUUUUACACAGUUACUUCUUUAUUUCUUCUUAUAGCCCUUGACAUGAAUUCCUUUUUCCAGCAAAGGCACAAGUGCAUAAGUUCAUUGCUUAUUUUAGGCUGAAUUGACUUUCUACACAUUUGGUUUUUCUAAUUUUUUCUACUGUCAAGUUGUGUUAUCAUAUGGAUCUGUCUUGUACUUAAGAUUGUUAUAUCUUUUUUUUUCAUCUUAUUUUCAGUGGUACACUUUGUUGAAUCAGAAGGCAUAUAUAUUAACUCUUAUAACUUGUUCUCCUUGCUUAUUCAUAAAAUUUGAUGCCAGGUUGUUUUGAUUUAACAAAAUACAUUGUGGAUGGGUAAUUGCAGCUAUCGGGGAGGCAAUUUUUUUAUAGAAAAAUGUGCACUUUGAAUCGGUUUUAUUGAAUUUUUUUGGUCAGAUUUGUAUGUAAAUAGGACUGCAUAUUUGGGUGCUUUCAUGGUCCAUGGAUCAUAUAUAUAUAUAUAUANNNNNNNNNNNNNNNNNNNNNNNNNNNNNNNNNNNNNNNNNNNNNNNNNNNNNNNNNNNNNNNNNNNNNNNNNNNNNNNNNNNNNNNNNNNNNNNNNNNNNNNNNNNNNNNNNNNNNNNNNNNNNNNNNNNNNNNNNNNNNNNNNNNNNNNNNNNNNNNNNNNNNNNNNNNNNNNNNNNNNNNNNNNNNNNNNNNNNNNNNNNNNNNNNNNNNNNNNNNNNNNNNNNNNNNNNNNNNNNNNNNNNNNNNNNNNNNNNNNNNNNNNNNNNNNNNNNNNNNNNNNNNNNNNNNNNNNNNNNNNNNNNNNNNNNNNNNNNNNNNNNNNNNNNNNNNNNNNNNNNNNNNNNNNNNNNNNNNNNNNNNNNNNNNNNNNNNNNNNNNNNNNNNNNNNNNNNNNNNNNNNNNNNNNNNNNNNNNNNNNNNNNNNNNNNNNNNNNNNNNNNNNNNNNNNNNNNNNNNNNNNNNNNNNNNNNNNNNNNNNNNNNNNNNNNNNNNNNNNNNNNNNNNNNNNNNNNNNNNAACAAGACUAGUACAAAAAUGACCUACGGAUACACCAUAAAAAUGUGACCAUAUGCGUAUAGUGACAUUUUAUUUUUUCACUGAAAGUGUGAUAGAAGGUGGCGUCAUUGUAUGGGUCUUAUGGUCACUUUAAAAUGUAGUAUCCGUAUGAUAUGAAAAAAUCUAGUUGUAUCAUAAAAGUGUGGCAAUUGGGUAGGGAAUUUUGUUGCUAUAAUCAAUAAUUUUAUCCAAUAUUGUGGCGAUAAACCGUCAGUAGACACUUUUUUAGCAAUUAUAGUGACUGUAUAUCACCAACUGGCGACAUACAUGUUAUUUCAAUGUGGCGUUUUGCUAGUAAAUUGUCAUACAAUUCAAAGUUUAUUAAAGAUUAUUAGGUAUGUUUUGCAGACAUACAAUUAUAGUGAACAUGACCAUGAUCACUAAAUGAUCACAUGUAAUUAGUUUCAUAAAUAACAAUUUGCUAAUGAUUAGUCACAAAAACAAUAUUUUAGUGUGACUAUUGCUUAUCGUAUAGAGACACACAUUUAAGUGAAACAUGAUCAUAAGUAUUAUAAAGAAACACAUUUUAUUAAAAUUAUGGAUUUGAUAUUAGCUUGCAUCCAUGUUUAUAUUACUUAUCAUAACCGAUACUAUCAUUCGAUAUAUAAAAAAUCGUAACUAUGACUAUUUUAUAUCGUUUCGACAUAGACAAUCAAUCAAGAAUAACCAUAAUUGAUUUGUAGAUACAUUGGUGUGACUAACAUUUAUAUAAAGCCACAUAAAAUAUUGUAGUUAUGGUGUGACUAAUAUUUAUAUAGAGUCACAUGAAUUUUGUUUAAUAUGGUGAAACUAAUGUUUAUGUAAAGCUCCAUAUAUCAAUGGAAAUGUUAUCCAUUUUAUUUCCAAUUUUUUGUAAAAUAAAAACAGUAGUAAACAUGAUAAAACUUAAAAAGAGAAUGAUAUUAACAUUAAUAAUAAAAAAUCAAUACAUAAGUUUUCAAUUUAAAUAGUUAAGACAUUAACUUGUAAUCAAAAGAUAUAUAUUGAAGGCUUUACACAUAAACUAAGAACUAUUUCUCCAUCAAUUUUGGUUUGUUCACCUUACUGUUGCUCCUUGUCUGUUUCAUGCCCUCUAACGGUGUAUACGUUUUCUUUUUUACUCUGAAAAAAUAACAAGUUCAAACAUAUGAAUCUAAAAUGGCAUAAAAUAAGUGUAUACAGAAGAAAGAUAGAUCUGGAGAAUAUUCGAAGAGAUUUUCAAGCAAGACGAAGUGCAUAUAAAAGAACAAGCCUACAUGAAUCUAAAAUGGCAUAAAAGAAGUGUAUAUAAAAGAACAAGUCUACAUGAACCCCUUUUUGGCUCUUGCCUAUAGUAAAGCAUCCUCGCGAGAAGAUGCAUUUGCAUGAAAAUGAUCUCUAGAAUAUAAUUAUGGGCACAACCACCAUCCACGCAUAAAUAUGAAACCCACAAUCAUAUUAAAAUGUGUUAAAAAAGACUAAUAUCAAAUUUGAUUUAAGAUAACAUUAGAAGAAAAGAACCACUGGUUUUACGGAUACGGUGAAGAUACGAUAAUAUAUUAAAGAAAUUCCAAAAUAGAUAUAUAUUGAUGUAAAGUGUAAACUCCAAAAUACUAAAUCUUUCAAAGGUGUAGGUGUGGUUGAAGAUUCUUGAAGAGUUAAAAGUCAGAAUAAUCUUUCAAAGGAACAGUUCCAUACACACAUAUUCUCAUACCAAGCUUAACUUUGUGUCUGGAAUGCAUCUACUUUGGAUCCCAACUUCAUACAAGCCAUUUUUGCUGCUGAAAAUAAAAAUCAAACCUGCAACAAACAACAGAUCCUCUAUAACCUACAACAGUAAACCCCAUUGUUUCUCCAAUGAAGUCAAAUAAAUACAAAUCAAAAUCCAAGAACCCUAGAAAUUCGAUCAAUAAGCAGAACCAAACAUCAGAAACCACAAAAUUUAGCAUAAAUCGACCAAGAUAAAUCCCAAAUUAGAAAAUGAAAACGAUGUAAACUGAGCUUUAACCAUUUAGUAAAUUCAAAUCAAUUUGAAUUAAAAGGUUAGUUUUAUUUGUAACUUACGGCACAGAAGGGCAUUUUCAUAAAAUUUUGAAAGAGGAACGACCUUUGUUUGUUGUAUUUUUCUUAUACAUCCAAUUGCCAAGCCUGAGACAGGGACCUAAAAGUCUUUAUUUAGAUGCCUAUAUUUUAUGUCCCCACAAGAGAAAAAAAAUAUUCUCGAUUGUAUUUUUAAUGACAUCUUUACCUGAAGGAAGGGCUGAAUGUCUGAUCGGUGGAAUAUUCACGUUAAAAAUAAUGUUUGAGAGGAAUCAAUAAUUCAGAAAGAUACAAAAUUUGACGUUGCCCCUUAAUCGAUUGUUAAUGCACAUCUCUUAAACUUCUUCUGUAUCUUUUCGGCUACGUCUGUUUCAGGAAAACGCAAAAUUAUACGGAGGCAGAACGAAGGCGAUAUUUCGAGCGAGAGAGAGACAAUAAGAAUUGAGUGGCCUGAGGUGAUCCAUUAGAUAUAUUGACGAAGAGAGGCAGACAGGAGAGGUUAAAGAAAAUAUGUUUUUUGCGUUUGUGGAUUUCGGUUUCCCAGCCACGCAUAAACAAAAUUAGGGUUUAAAAAUGGGGCAAUGAAUUGGGAGAAGCGGCAAAAUAAAAUUGGGAGCGGGAGAGCUAAAAUUAUAAAAAUAUUUGAGGAAAAAUGGUUUUGCACGUAUAUAUUAACAUUACACUUAUUUAUAAUUCAACUAAUUAUCAUUUAUACAUAUUAAAUGAAUGUUAGAUGAAAUAUUCAUACACCGAUUCUUGUAAAUUUAUAUAUAUUUAAAUUGUAUUGAUAUGUAACUGAGUUUUUUAGUUUAGUUUAUCUUACUAUAUAGUAAUACAUAUGUUUUUCUUUUGUAUUUUCAAUUUUAGUAUACUUUUUUUCAUUUUAAAAUGAUAACAUGAAAUAUUUGUAUCUAAAAAUUGAGUUGUAGUUGUGGUGGAGGAGGCGGUAUUAAUGGUGGUGGGGGUGGUAGCGGUAAAGGUAGAGGUGGAGAUGGUGAUGUGGCGGUGGUGGUGGAGUUGGAGGCGGUGGUGAUUGUAGUUUUGGUGAGAGAGAUGAUGGCGGCGACAGAGGUGGUGACAUUAGUAGAUGUGGAGAAGGUGUUGGUGGUGACGUGGUCGUGGUUGUUGUGGCAAAGGAUGAAGAGAUGACAGAGUAGGAGAGGUGGCAGUGGUGAUGCGGUAGAGGCGGUGAUGGCAGAGACGUUAUAAUUUAGGGCUUAAGGUGUAGGGUAUAGGGCUUAGACGUUAUAAUUUAGGGCUUAAGGUUUAUGGCUUAAGCCUUAAGCUCUAACCCGUAAGUUAUACGUCAUAAGCCUUAAGUUAUAAGUCAUUAGCCACAAGUCAUAACCCAUAAUCCAUAAGCAACAAGCUCGGGGCAAUAAACUCAAAGGGUUAAGCAAUAAGAAAUAAGUCAUGAGACUAAUUUGUAAGCCUUACUUCUUAGUCCAUAAACAUAACUCAUAACCUCUAAGCCUUAAUCCUUAAUUCUUAAUUCGUAAGCCAUUGCCCAUAACCAUAACCAUAAGCCACAAGCCUUAAGGCAUAACCUAUAAAACAUAAGCCCUAAACCUUGACACAUAUUCAUUAAACAAUAAACCACAAGAAUAACACCUCAAUCCAUAAGCGCUAAUCUAUACCAUAAGGCACAAGCCCGGAGCCCUACGUUGUACGCCCUAAGCCCUAAGCCAUAAGUCAUAAGUCAUAAGCCUAAUCGAUAACCCAUAAGCCAUUAACCAUUAUUUAUAAGUCAUGAUUCCUAAGUGUUAAAUUCAUAAGUAGUGAUACACCCUAAGCCACAAUUUAUAAGUCAUGAUUCUUUUAACAUUUUUGUUACCACUUUUUUGUUAAAACAACAUUAUAGGUGGUCCCCGCUUGACCUACCAAAACUAAAUCGACCUCACCCCUACCACAUGCUAACCGUGAGAUGCCUUUUAUGUUUACCUUUUCUUGUCAUAUUCUGUGGUCACAUAAAACAAACCCACAAAUCAUAAACUUGUAUGAUCAUAUAAAACAAAUCCCUUUUAUGACAUGAUAAUAAAAUGAUAAUAGCAUGAAACGGCGUGCCAACGACGUGUCCGUGUUUAAAAUUCGUGUAUAUUUAAUACCAUUCUAUAUUGUUUUAUGUUAUUUUUUGUCGUGUUUAAAAGUGAUGAUAUUAUUUUAUUCGUGUUUUUCAUGAUUUUAUUGUGGCGUGCUCAUGUUAACGAAAUAACACGCUAUCUUGUCGUGUUGUGUCUGGAUUGAAAACAAAUAAUAUGUUCGAUGUCGUGUAAAAAAUACAAACAAUCAUCCGAAUUUCCACCCCUAUUGAAACCACUUGAUGGUCAUCACAAUAUACAUCACAAUUCUAUAAAUCAAAAUUUAAAAUAUAAAAUGUAUAUUUAUCGUGAAUGAAAUUUUUGUUUCCCUCUAAAAUAUUUUCUUAAUUAAUCUUAGUUCCCCUCUUAAUAUAAUUAAUUUUUAUUUAAAUUUCCCUCCGAAAAAAUAAAAAAUUUGAUUUCCCUCUACUCAAACUACAAAUUUUCCAAAUUUGACCUUUCUGCGAAAUACAUACAAAUAACCAGCUCUAGGAAGGGCGCCUUUCUUUUUUACUCUACAAUUUAGAUCUGAUCUCUUUCAACUUCUCGACAGUUUCAAAUCAACGUUAGGUGCUCCCAACUCUACACAACGCGCCAUUCGUCUCCUUCCCAAAGUCGAUAAUCAUCUCCAUCCAAGGUAGUCCACUACAAGGCAUAAUUUAUCGCACAAGGCGUCGUUCAUCUCUUUCCAAAAUACGUACACGGGAGCCUUAUUUUUCAUUUCCUUUAAUCAACAAACCCUUCUUCUCUAUCCUACCCAUUUCUCCUCCAUCUGUAAUAUCCCGUCUGCCCCCUCCAAUCUGCAACGCCGCCACCACCAGCUUCCCCUCAACCUCUGGCAGCUUCGACAGCCCUGCCUCCGCGUCCGCAGACUUCUGCAGGUGAGGGUUUUCUUUUCCUUUACAUAUGAAAAUCGAGUCCAAUGAACUUUUUUCCCCUGAAAAUUGACUAUCAGAUGCCUAUAUUUAGUUGCUUUCUUUUUUCUUUUCUUUUUCCUUUGAAAAUCGAGUUCAAGAUAUUAUGGUUUUUUUGCUCUAUUUUUUUUUGAAAUAAGAUACCCUUUUCUGAUGUAGAUGUUGAGUUUCCUUGAUAUUGAAAUCAUAUGUGGUUUCUCUUUGAGCUGAAUCAAAUGCACACGAAAAUCUGUUAUGACAAUGUUUUCUGCAAAUCAAAUAUUAUUUUCUUUUUUGCUGAAAUAUGAAACUUGAUGUUAUGAUGGUUGAGAUGCUUCAAAUGUUGAAAUACCCUUUAAGUAUUGAAAUGUUGCUUGUAAUUAACUUGAAAUUGAAACAAAUUUGUAUGAAUUUUUUGGUUACGGAUUCAUUAAUAAUAAAACAUGAUACAUGGAAUUGAUAGAAAUCAUAAGAAAUUUAGUUAGUGUCUAAAGGUGAGUGAAGUUUGAACUUCAACACUUAUUAAUCCAACAACAUUCCAUUAACCGAAAUUAAUAUCAAGUUUAUAACUUACAUUCAACAUUCUCUACUAUAGGACAAAUGAAGAUUGGGUAGUUAUUGAUCUAGUGUCUAAUCGAGAUUAAGAUUUUUGAAUUGAAAGCUAAUGAAUAUGUAUGAUAGGGCUAAUCAGUGAGUGGUUCCAUUUUGUUGCAUAUUAAAAUUUAUGCAUCACAACUAGUAUAAGAACUUGUCAAUCGAGAAUUUUUUUUUUUACAUGAAGGGGAGAUAUUGUUGUUGGAACUUGGAAAUGUUUCUAAUAGAGAUCAUUCCUAAUACAUAGAUUCCUGAAAUUUUGAUAGAUUAUGAUAAGAUUUGUAACAAUUUGGUAAGUUUGUUAGAGUUCAGAUGUAGAUUAAGAAUUAAGCACCAAAAUAAUCCCAUAGUAUUCUUGAUGUUUACUAGUGUGAAGUUCUGACUUCCUUAGUAGACCUUAGCUUAAUGGAUAUUUUGGAGUUGAUUGUUGAUUUGUUAAUUGUUAGUUACAUUUUGGUAUUGAUUUGUUAAUUUCCGUUGUUUAGAAGUUGUAGUAUUUUUUUCUCCAAACUUUCAUAUAAAUUUUCAUUGCUUGGGGUCUAGUUCGAUUUUUCAGGUAUCCUACCGGGUUCCAGGUUGGGCUUGGGGAAAAGUUCAAUUCUGAUGAGAUACCCGUUGGGUAUCGGGUCGGGUAUGAGAAUAAUUUUUGAUACCGGGUUCGAGGAUGGGAUACCUAACCUCAUUGCCAUUCCUAGCUCUAUUCCCUAAGACCUGUAAUAUAAACAAAAUGAAUCAGUUUACUCAUAUUUACCAUUUUCAUCUAUACUAAGCAUGUUGGUCAAAAUUACCAUAACUAAAUGCAUCUUACACUCACAAUAAUUGUUUUUUUAAGUCAAUGUAACAUAUUUCGGCACACAUAAUAAAAUACACAUGAUCAUAAACCACUAAAAGUUACUUGUUUUCUUGUUUUUAGUAUGUCACUAGUAGACACCACCAUAUGAACACACAAAUAUUUAAUGUGACCAUAUGUAUCAACUAUUAGCUACAUUACAUUUCAUGUGUCAAAAAAGACGCCACGAUACAGAAACAUAUACAAUUGACUCAUAUCACAAUAUAUUUACCUCUUGUCUCAUAAAAAAAAGUAUCAUAAUGUUAAUCAAUAAUCAUGGCUGAUGGUGACAUGUGGCCACAGUGUUCGAGUGUGGCUAAUAAUUGUCAUAUUUGGUAUAGUUAAGUGUGGUUAAAGUUUUGAUUAUCUAUACAAUGACCACACAAGCUAAUUUAAAUGUAUCCAAAAGUAGGCUGUAAAUUUUUUUUAGAUAGGCCAUUUUUUGAAAAGUGUGACCGUAUGUCAUUUUUGUACUAGUGCAAUAAUAAAAGGUUCCAACUUUUCAUAUAGUAUAUACAAGUUUUCAGCAUUACAGACAUCAAAUAAAGUCAGUGUAAUGGUAAAGGUGUUGCCCUUAACACCCAAAGGUCGCACAUACGAAUAAUGUAAUCCCCAAGAGUGUGUUUUUCAAACAAGCUUAAAAAGUUGGCGUGUCAGCGACAUAGUCAAACUAGACGUGGUUUGCCAUGUAUGUAAGCAACUUGUUUUUUUUUUUUUAACGACGAUAUUAGUAUUUGUCUGGGAUUAAACUCAAGACCUCCUGGUUAGAAACCCUAGUUAGACAUCUUGACUGUAAGCAACUUGUAACCGACAAAACCUGCUGAAAAGCUAUAAACGAAAAAAAUUAAACAAAACUAGCUAUAAACGAAAAAAUUAAACAAAACUUCUGUAAGCAACUUGUGACCGAGAAAACCUUCUAAAAAGCUAUAAACGAAAAAACUAAACAAAACGAUAUUUAUAACCUAAAAUAGGUCAAAGGGUAAAACCAAAGAAUUUCUCAAAAUAACUUAAUGACUUUUAUUUCAUUAGCCCUAUUAGCUAAAAGCUUGUUUUUUAAACAAGCUUAAAAAGCUACCAUGUCGGCGCCAUAUCCGGCUCAACGCCAUGCCUGUUGAUUGAGCCUAGUUCGCGUCGACGUUGUUUGCCGCGUCUUUAAGCAACUUCUUUUAAUCGGAAAAACUUGCAUACUAAAACGGUAUAAACGAAAAAAUUAAACAAAUCUUUCAGUUUCACUAGACCGAAAAUACAUCAAAAGGUAAGACCAAACAUUUCCUGAAAACUUUAAAGGCUUUUAUAUUAUUAGAGUAUUUAUUAACAUAUAACCCAAAUGUAAAAGCAAGAAUCAAAAGUUUGCAUGCGCCCAUUAUCAUGCCAAUCUAUGAAUAUGAGGAAACAAAUUAAUAUCACACGUAAAAUAAAAUCAGAACUAAUAAAAUAAUAAGAGAAGUUAUUCGUACAUAACAGUUUUUUGCCAUACACAAAAAUUUAUACAUUAUAUAGUUUUACAAUACAAUAUUUUAAAGAACUAAUUGUCGUNCUGCUUACACUUUAAUGUUGAUUUUUUUAUUUUAUUUUUUUUUUUUUUUUUAAAUUAACCCGUAUAAUAUACGGUUCUCACACAUAGUAAAAUAAUAAUGUAAAAGAUUAAAAAAGUUUACUAAGAAAAUUAAAGCAACAUAUUUAAUUAUUAAAUAUUAAUUGAAACUAAUAAUAUAAUAAUUAUAUUAAUAUAAUGAUUAAUAAAUAAUAAUCAUCGAAGUAAUAAUUAAAAUAAAAAAUGUAUAUAUAAUGUUAAUCUAUUAAGAAAAGUAAAAUUAACUAUUAAUUAUUAAUAAUUUACUUUUACAAACUACAACUAAUUAAUUAUUAGUAUUUAAUUUCGCAAUCUGCUAAUAAAAUAAUUAUUAAAAAGAUAUGAUAAGUAAAAAUGCAAUCUGAUAUAUUGGAACUCAAGACAAAACUGCACAGACAAAGUUCAGGAAAUGAGCAAGAAGGUAGGAGUUCUUAGGCGGCUAUAGCUAACAACUGCGCGCCACUCUCUUUUCUUACCAAUUUCCUUUACUCGGACUAUAUCGUUGACUAAAACAAUUGGUCAAUGUUCGAACAAACCAUUGGGGGAAUGAUCGUGUAUAAAUAGAUCCUUCAUAAAUGGUUACUUACACAUUCAUAUUCAUUCAAUCAUUGAAAAAAUGGCCUCAAUCUUAAAAGGAGGAAGACUUACCUUGGCUCUUAUCAUCCUCAUCGUCAUUAGUUCAUCAUCUCACAUCAUUACAACCACCGCCACUGCUCGGACUCCAUACAACCAUGAACGCCAACUAGGUUCGGUUUUCUCUAAACAUCUCAUAGUUAAUAAUAAAAAAAACGCUAAUAGAAGCUGCUCCGGUAUUUCUUAUAAAUUAACUAAGGUUGCAUUGUAAAUACGUGUAGUUAAUUUUUUUUUUCUUUUAAAUAAGAAAACAGUUUCAUUUUAUCUUACUUUCGGAGUUGUAGGGUUAUAUUCUUAUGAUUUUGUUUUCUAUAUUUAUUUCAUUCGUGUAAUUACUAUCAAUAGUCAAUAGCUAAUUUGUUUUCCAUUCAUCACCGGUUUUCCAGAUUUUCUGAUCAAACUAACCUUAUAUAAGAGUGCGUAUGUACAACUUGUCCUUCCCUAAUUAAAGAUUAAAAAUAUUAGAAAUUGAUGUAUGCAGCUACAAAUUGCGAUUAUGACCCCAUACAACAAAAUGAUGGACCCGACGGGUGUGGAAGUGGAAGUGGAAGUGGAAGUGGUGGAUCACCAAAACCAAAACCAAUACCAUGCGGUUCAAUGCCAGGUAGGAGCCUUUGUAGGAAGGGUUGCUGUGGAAAGACUAAAAUGGGAAGGGCCGAAUGUUGCUAGUAGUACCGGAGGUUGUACUACAUCACAUAAUGUAUCUGAAUCCCUUGUUUGGAUCAGAAAAUAAUAUUUCAAAUCAUUUCCACCCUCUGCUUUUCCUUAAAUUCUAUAUGUAAGUCUACAAAAAUUUUAUAUCCAGUUGUUCGAAUCUGGAGGAAAAGAUUCUAUCAUUAUAUUUGUCAAGAUGGUUCACAACUUUAGUAGAAGAAAACAGAAAUCAAACAUGGCUAGCUAACUUCAACUUGCACAAGUGGCAUGAGCUUCAUCCACGUAACUUUAGAUCCCAUAUCGACCUGAAAAUGUUGGUUAAUUUAAUGCUGAAUCAAGAUGGAAAUAUGGGUUGUUUGUAUAAGACCAAUAUCCUAAAACGGAGACUAACCAUUAAAGGCUAAUCAUGAUGGUGAUGUGGCAAUGAGCUAUUCGAAGGAACGACUGUGCACACCAUCAUGAAGGUUGACCGGUUAUGCAGUCAGAAUUGUAACAAAUUGAUAAAACGAGUGUCUAAUUUAAGAUUAAAAAAAAAUAGUCUCGAAAUCAGAUUUUUAUGAAAACUUAAUUACCAUAAUUUGCAAUAUUUAAAAUUUUGUGAACAUAAAUAUCAAGUGUUGGGUUGAAAAUUGAAACCAUAACAAUAGACAUAACUUAAUGUCUAUUUGAAUGAGUAAUUGAAGUUGCAAUGUAAACGUAAAC